Molecule: long non-coding RNA, 4335 nt
Organism: Gasterosteus aculeatus aculeatus (three-spined stickleback)
Lineage: Eukaryota; Metazoa; Chordata; Actinopteri; Perciformes; Gasterosteidae
Source: Ensembl
ACUGCACCCUACACUACACUACUGUGCCAGGUGGAGGCGCCAUUGGCCUCAGGUGCAGUGAAUCAAGGAUUGUGUUUGUCUCCCUGUAUUUCGAUAGUGGCGAUCCGGUGAGAGAAACUCAGCCAGACGAGGCGGCUGGACGCCGGGAGCUCCCCAAACGAUCUGGUGUGCAUUUAUAAUUUCGCUGGUAACCGUAGUAUAGAAACAAUAAAGGUACUUGAGGCAGUACUUUAUCUUCAAUAAUGAAACAGUUCAGGGGUUGUUAGGCCAGACGAUAAAACACAGCCUCUUGUACCUUAUUGCUUAACUACACUACUGUACAGUACAAUACUGUACACUACAAGUACACCACUUCUUUGUUCAUGUCCAACUCCACUGACCGGCCUUUUCUUCCUCCCACCCACGCAAAGAGACGAGGAGACGGGCAAAAUGAGGGACAGAAGGCGUCUUUUUAGGUGCAGAUAUCACAGAAACGUAAAUGUAGGGAGGGGGGCAGAGAAGGAGACGAUAACUGAAGAAAAAGGGACAGAUGAAUGGAGUCCUGCAGAUCCAGCACACAAUGGGACACUGGGAAGAAAACCAUUAUACUCCCAUAAUAUAAAUUUUCAUCUCCCAAAAUGCCAGUGGCCCGUGAAUUAUUUUUUUUUCCAGACAGAAAGUGAAUGUAGAAAGAUUUUAGCAGUAAAGGGAAAAUGUUUAAUGUAUGAAAAUAAAAAGCAGCCCGAGUAUGAUUUACAGAAAGAGCGACGGCUCCCCCUGAAGGAAUGUGUGCACCACGCUGACAGAAAAGAGAGAAAGAAACGCAGAAAGUGUCACAGGUGAAAGCAUUAAUCUCUCAAUGGGUAUUACACACAAUCAUUGUGAAAUCAACCCCCCAAAACCUAGAAAAGUGACACUUGACCUAUUUUUACACUUUAACGUUCAACUAUAGAAAAUUGGUUAUCAUUCUGUAUUUAUUUUUAGGAGUCAAGUGAGCUGAAAUAAAAUGUCCCACUAGAAUCAUAUUAACAUUAGAUUGCUGUUGAGUGUUCUUCCUGAACGUGGCCACUAGAGGUCAGUGUACAUCGAGGCCAUUGGCAGUGACCUCAGAGCAUCAUGAAGAGGCGCCUCAGUGCUGGGGGGCUUGUUGCCCUUGUCUGUGUUUUAAUGUUUUAGGUUUGGAGGGUCCAGUCAGAAUAAAUGUUUUAUUCAAUUAUAUUCUGUGAAAGCUCUUUGUGUUUUAGCAGUUUGCAUAACUUGUACAUUUGAUAUGCACUGGAUUUUUCUUCUUUUACGUUAUUUUAUAUUUUAACCAAAAGUUCAUUUUUUCCUUUAUCUUGUCAUUUGGUUCUUCAUGAAAUGUAAAUCAUAUUUGUAGUUCUUUCACUUCUUUUGACAAUACUAUAUAUUUUUUUGUUUUUGACAUAAUACACACUAAAAUACAAAAGGUUCAUUUUAAUCUUCUUUAAUAAUCUGACUAUACUAGACUGUUUUUCAAAAUUCUAUACUGAAAUAUUUUUACUUUCUACUUUUUUAUUUUCUUGAUACGCCAUGUCAGAAAAUAAUAUGUAUAAAGUUUGUACUACAAAUUUGUUGAGAUUUUUUGAAUUUUGUUUUAAAUUAAAUAGUGGGGGUUUUCAGUACCAUAUGACUUUUUUCUGUGGUUAUUUUCAAAACAUUUUCAUGAAGUUUGUUCUCCAACUUUUUUUAAGUCAGUGUAAAAACCUGUAAAACUACAGUGCAUCCGCAAAGUGUUCACAGCGCUUCACUUUUUCCACAUUUUGUUAUGUUACAGCCUUAUUCCAAAAUGGAUUAAAUUCAUUAUUUUCCUCAACAUUCUACACACAACAACCCAUAAUGACAAUCUGUUAAAAAUAAAGAACGAAAACAUAACAUGUACAUAAUUAUUCACAGCCUUUGCCAUGACACUCAAAAUUUAGCUCAGGUGCUUCCUGUUUCCACUGAUCAUCCUUGUUUCUACAACUUGAUUGGAGUCCACCUGUGCUAAAUUCAGUUGAUUGGACAUGAUUGAGAAAGGCACACACCUGUCUAUAUAAGGUAUCAGAGUAUGACAGUGCAUAUCAGAGCAUAAACCAAGCCAUGAGGUCUGUAGAACUCAGAGACAGAAUUGUAUCGAGGCACAGAUUUGGCGAAGGGUAUAGAAAGAUUUCUGUAGCAUUGAAAGUCCCAAUGAGCACAGUGGCCUCCAUCAUCUGGAAGAAGUUUGGAACCACCAGGACUCUUGCUAGAGUCGCCUGCCCAGCCAGACUGAGCGAUCGGGGGAGAAGGGCCUUAGUCAGGGAGGUGACCAGGAACCUGAUGGUCACUCUGACAGAGCUCCAGUUCUAUGAAGAGAGGAGAACCUUCGAGAAUGACAACCAUCUCUGCAGCACUCCACAAAUCAGGCCUGUUUGGUAGAGAGGCCAGACGGAAGCCACUCCUCAGUAAGAAGCACAUGACAGCCCGCCUGAAGGACUCUCAGACCAUGAGAAACAAAAUUCUCUGGUCUGAUGAAACACAGAUUGAACUCUUUGGCCUGAAUGCAAAGCGUCAUGUCUGGAGGAAACCAGGCACUGCUCAUCACCUGACCAAUACCAUCGCUACAGUGAAGCAUGGUGGUGGCAGCAUCAUGUGGGGAUGUUUUUCAGCGGGAGGAACUGGGAGACUAGUCAGGAUUGAGGGAAAGAUGAAUGCAGCAAUGUACAGAGACAUCCUGUGACACAGCAGACUGGGGCAUUAACACAUCCUCGAUGAAAACAUGCUCCAAAGCGCUCUGGACCUCAGACUGGGGCGACGGUUCAUCUUCCAACAGGACAACGACCCGAAGCACACAGCCAAGAUAACAAAGGAGUGGCUUCGGGACUCUGUGAAUGUCCUUGAGUGGCCCAGCCAGAGUCCAUCCAACCUGAUGGAGCUUGAGAGGUUCUGCAGAGAAGAAUGGGAGAACCUGCCCAGAAAUAGGUGUGCCACGCUUGUGGAAUCAUACCCAAGAAGACUUAAGGCUGUAAUUGCUGCCAAAGGUGCUUCAAUAAAGUAUUGAGCAAAGACUGAAUACUUAUGUACAUGUUAUGUUUUCGUUCUUUAUUUUUAACAGAUUUGCAAAAAUUUGCAAUAAACAGUUUUCACUUUGUCAUUAUGCAUUGUUGUGUGUAGAAUGUUGAGGAAAAUAAUGAAUUGAAUCCAUUUUGGAAUAAGGCUGUAACAUAACAAUGUGGAAAAAGUGAAGCGCUGUGAAUGUUUUCCGGAUGCGCUGUGUAUCAUUGGUGCUUUUUAUUUUGUAUGUAUGGUAGAAAACUCAUCAAACCAUUUAAACCCUGACAAUACCACUGUCCUCAUAUUGAGACUAGAUAUUUUGAUCCACGCUGCAGCUGGACAAGCCCGAGGCUGAAAUUUAGCCCCAUGUCCCAAGAGAAAUCAGGGCACUGGCCUAUCCUGCUUGGUUGUCUUGGUUCUUGUCCCUCGGGUCAGAUUACAGUCGGACAUUUAAAAGCUUAACCUAUUUCUUUCAGCUUGAAGUCUUGAAAACAGCAUUACGUAUUGGUGUCAUAGGCCUACGGGUAAUUAUAUAUAAACAACCUCCCAUUCAAUCAGAUUUAUAAUAUUCAAAGAUAAGGUCCUAAGUGACCUCCAGGUCUAGGGAUCAGAUGUUCCCUGACAGAUUUCUGAAGCAGUGAGGCUGGUUUUCAGAAGACGGAUCAUUUAGCUGGAGGGAUUUUAAAUCCUCUGAGAUAAAAAAAAAGAAAGUCUUAAUGCUUUAACUACUGAACCAUGGAAAGAAGCAUCUGUUAUCAGUGUGACGGUACUUCUACUGAUGUGAACACAUUAAUUGAUAAGUUCUACGCAUCCUUAUGAUUUUCUUUCAUCUUACUGAUUAGAAUGUAUAAAUUAUUAACGUUGUCUGUAUUGUAUAAAUGACAGCACAAACAUUGCACCCACUGUCACUCUUGAUUGAUUCUCUUUGACUAUUGCUUCCGUCAAAUAAAGAUGGACUUGUAGUAGAGGUCUAAAUUCCUCUUUUGAUCAAAGCUCAUUUUUAACUAGUGUUUUUCUUUUUCAUUCUCUGCGAAACAUGUUUUUAUUAAUUAAAUUAAAUACAUUUUUACUAAUCAAAGGCAUUUCUUCUCAUUACUUGUUCGUAACAUUGUUAAGAGACCACAAACUAUACAAAUAGUAAUAGUUUUAUUUGUGUACUUGUUACCUGUCUCCCAGUCCAGGUGCAAUCAGGGUGAUUGGGUUCCACCUGUGCCCGUUGAUCAACGAGCUGGGGUGAAGCCUGGUGCUGGUUCUGGUUCUGGUGCUGGUGCUGGUUCUGGUUCUGGUGCUGGUGCUGGUUCUGGUUCUGGUGCUGGUUCUGGU